This 508-nucleotide ribosomal RNA is filed under the name uncultured bacterium. RNAcentral describes it as "partial 16S ribosomal RNA". It matches the Rfam family "Bacterial small subunit ribosomal RNA", at positions 29 to 523 of the family's 1533-position model. The record is from RNAcentral.
AGUGAACGCUGGCGGCAGGCCUAACACAUGCAAGUCGAACGGCAGCACAGUAAGAGCUUGCUCUUAUGGGUGGCGAGUGGCGGACGGGUGAGGAAUACAUCGGAAUCUACUCUUUCGUGGGGGAUAACGUAGGGAAACUUACGUUAAUACCGCAUACGACCUACGGGUGAAAGCGGAGGACCUUCGGGCUUCGCGCGAUUGAAUGAGCCGAUGUCGGAUUAGCUAGUUGGCGGGGUAGAGGCCCACCAAGGCGACGAUCCGUAGCUGGUCUGAGAGGAUGAUCAGCCACACUGGAACUGAGACACGGUCCAGACUCCUACGGGAGGCAGCAGUGGGGAAUAUUGGACAAUGGGCGCAAGCCUGAUCCAGCCAUGCCGCGUGGGUGAAGAAGGCCUUCGGGUUGUAAAGCCCUUUUGUUGGGAAAGAAAAGCAGUCGGUUAAUACCCGAUUGUUCUGACGGUACCCAAAGAAUAAGCACCGGCUAACUUCGUGCCAGCAGCCGCCGUAA